UUAUGCGUAAAACUAAGUGUGCAUUUGUAGGCGGUGUCGAAAUGGGUCUAUAGCUCUGCCUGAACUGUCGUCCAAUUGGUUUACAAGUCCGGCUGAAGUGACCGGCCAUCAAAAACUGUACAGCGUGACUGAUUCCGAGACGGCCCUCAACACUCGCACAGUCGUGUCGAGAGGAUCGGUGUCUUUGCAGAUUACAUGGAAUUGAGCACCCGGGCCAGACUGACACUUUCCGGAGCCUGCCCGAGACGGAACUCGAGCCGAGGAAUCAUAGGUCCAGGCGGUGUCGAAAUGGGUCUAUAGCUCUGCCUGAACUGUCGUCCAAUUGGUUUACAAGUCCGGCUGAAGUGACCGGCCAUCAAAAACUGUACAGCGUGACUGAUUCCGAGACGGCCCUCAACACUCGCACAGUCGUGUCGAGAGGAUCGGUGUCUUUGCAGAUUACACGGAAUUGAGCACCCGGGCCAGACUGACACUUUCCGGAGCCUGCCCGAGACGGAACUCGAGCCGAGGAAUCAUAGGUCCAGGCGGUGUCGAAAUGGGUCUAUAGCUCUGCCUGAACUGUCGUCCAAUUGGUUUACAAGUCCGGCUGAAGUGACCGGCCAUCAAAAACUGUACAGCGUGACUGAUUCCGAGACGGCCCUCAACACUCGCACAGUCGUGUCGAGAGGAUCGGUGUCUUUGCAGAUUACACGGAAUUGAGCACCCGGGCCAGACUGACACUUUCCGGAGCCUGCCCGAGACGGAACUCGAGCCGAGGAAUCAUAGGUCCAGGUGUGACAAAAGACUUAAAGCUCAUGUCUGACGAUGACUUUUUUUAGUCAUGAAGUCAAGUGUGUUGUUUUUCCAUGCAAGCGAGCCCUUUUGUUGGGUCAAAUGACAUCAGGAUUGCUGCUUCUACAUGGAUUUUACCUAAAAUGUGCAAAAAAAAAAAUAAAAAAAGUUUGUUCGAAUCAUGUUCAAAACCUGCUUUGAUGCACAAAUAUUGCCAUUGAUGAUUUUUUUCACUUAUUAAGCCAUAUGUAAGAUCAGCUUUGCCUAUUAGAACCGAAAGACAUGCCUUGUAUGGAGUCUAAGUGCUGCAUGUAUGAUGUAACCAAACUUGGCUU
Molecule: long non-coding RNA, 1106 nt
Organism: Dreissena polymorpha
Lineage: Eukaryota; Metazoa; Mollusca; Bivalvia; Myida; Dreissenidae
Exons: 6
Source: RefSeq, a predicted model, not a curated record